Molecule: ribosomal RNA, 1535 nt
Filed under: Klebsiella pneumoniae
Lineage: Bacteria; Pseudomonadati; Pseudomonadota; Gammaproteobacteria; Enterobacterales; Enterobacteriaceae
Description: bacterial SSU rRNA
Rfam family: Bacterial small subunit ribosomal RNA
Source: RNAcentral
AAAUUGAAGAGUUUGAUCAUGGCUCAGAUUGAACGCUGGCGGCAGGCCUAACACAUGCAAGUCGAGCGGUAGCACAGAGAGCUUGCUCUCGGGUGACGAGCGGCGGACGGGUGAGUAAUGUCUGGGAAACUGCCUGAUGGAGGGGAUAACUACUGGAAACGGUAGCUAAUACCGCAUAAUGUCGCAAGACCAAAGUGGGGACCUUCGGGCCUCAUGCCAUCAGAUGUGCCCAGAUGGGAUUAGCUAGUAGGUGGGGUAACGGCUCACCUAGGCGACGAUCCCUAGCUGGUCUGAGAGGAUGACCAGCCACACUGGAACUGAGACACGGUCCAGACUCCUACGGGAGGCAGCAGUGGGGAAUAUUGCACAAUGGGCGCAAGCCUGAUGCACAUGCCGCGUGUGUGAAGAAGGCCUUCGGGUUGUAAAGCACUUUCAGCGGGGAGGAAGGCGGUGAGGUUAAUAACCUCACCGAUUGACGUUACCCGCAGAAGAAGCACCGGCUAACUCCGUGCCAGCAGCCGCGGUAAUACGGAGGGUGCAAGCGUUAAUCGGAAUUACUGGGCGUAAAGCGCACGCAGGCGGUCUGUCAAGUCGGAUGUGAAAUCCCCGGGCUCAACCUGGGAACUGCAUUCGAAACUGGCAGGCUAGAGUCUUGUAGAGGGGGGUAGAAUUCCAGGUGUAGCGGUGAAAUGCGUAGAGAUCUGGAGGAAUACCGGUGGCGAAGGCGGCCCCUGGACAAAGACUGACGCUCAGGUGCGAAAGCGUGGGGAGCAAACAGGAUUAGAUACCCUGGUAGUCCACGCCGUAAACGAUGUCGAUUUGGAGGUUGUGCCCUUGAGGCGUGGCUUCCGGAGCUAACGCGUUAAAUCGACCGCCUGGGGAGUACGGCCGCAAGGUUAAAACUCAAAUGAAUUGACGGGGGCCCGCACAAGCGGUGGAGCAUGUGGUUUAAUUCGAUGCAACGCGAAGAACCUUACCUGGUCUUGACAUCCACAGAACUUUCCAGAGAUGGAUUGGUGCCUUCGGGAACUGUGAGACAGGUGCUGCAUGGCUGUCGUCAGCUCGUGUUGUGAAAUGUUGGGUUAAGUCCCGCAACGAGCGCAACCCUUAUCCUUUGUUGCCAGCGGUUCGGCCGGGAACUCAAAGGAGACUGCCAGUGAUAAACUGGAGGAAGGUGGGGAUGACGUCAAGUCAUCAUGGCCCUUACGACCAGGGCUACACACGUGCUACAAUGGCAUAUACAAAGAGAAGCGACCUCGCGAGAGCAAGCGGACCUCAUAAAGUAUGUCGUAGUCCGGAUUGGAGUCUGCAACUCGACUCCAUGAAGUCGGAAUCGCUAGUAAUCGUAGAUCAGAAUGCUACGGUGAAUACGUUCCCGGGCCUUGUACACACCGCCCGUCACACCAUGGGAGUGGGUUGCAAAAGAAGUAGGUAGCUUAACCUUCGGGAGGGCGCUUACCACUUUGUGAUUCAUGACUGGGGUGAAGUCGUAACAAGGUAACCGUAGGGGAACCUGCGGUUGGAUCACCUCCUUA